Long non-coding RNA from Ruditapes philippinarum (Manila clam), 335 nucleotides. RefSeq lists it as uncharacterized. The transcript is spliced from 2 exons. Lineage: Eukaryota; Metazoa; Mollusca; Bivalvia; Venerida; Veneridae. The record is from RefSeq and is a predicted model, not a curated record.
AAAACAAGCAAUUAUCAUAGUAUUGCAAGCAAUCCAUAAGUCCCCUACCGGUAAGAACCCCAGCAACAUUCUGAUGGGCCAUUGGCCAUUCAAUUUUACCAGUGAAUGAAUGACAUGAAUGAACUUAUAUCUUUUGAGUUCUAAGUUUGUCUAUAUCACAGUAAUGUGUUAAGUUUCCCUGCCUAUUCAAAGGGGACAUAAUUCUGGAAAUAGUCUUGCUAGAGUAUUUAACCUUCUCAAAAAUGUUAAGUGAUAAUAAGAAACAUAUAUAUGAAGUUUGAAGUAGAUACAUUAGGAAAUAAAGAAGUUAUUUAAAAAAGACAACUUUUUUUUUC